CAAAGUCAUCCAGUCCAAGGGGGACGGCCAAAACUAAAACUUCUCCUGCUAAAAGGAAGAGAAACAUUCAAGAUAAGCCCAAAAAUAAGUCGAGAAAGAAUUUAAUUCUGCAAUCUGAUGGGUCUAAGCAAUCUACAAUCACAAAGUUCUUCAGGAAAACUCCACAUUUUUCAGAUUGUCCUAAAAUGGAAUCUAUAGAAGAGCAAAAUUGUCAAGAUCAAAGUUCUCCAAACGGUAUUACCGAAUAUGUAAACAAGAUUGACAAGUUUAUUCAAAUAAUAAAUGGUGACGAAUCAUUAAAAACACUUGUUGCAUCAUUAUUGGUAAAGACAAACGGAGACAUGAAUAUGGCACUUGAUUUGUAUUAUACUAAUCAUCAGGAGAGACUUGGUCAAAAUGAAAAGGGUCACAUCUUCAGCGCGAACCCAAUCCAAACUGAAAGCAAUUCGGAUGAAUGCUUAUCUACUCAGAAGAAAAACAUGCUAGAAAAUAUUGGACUUGAGACUGAUUUGUCUAAGAAGAUAAAUGAAACUUUUGUAUCCCUUCCACCUGAAGAUUAUGAUCCAGUCAAGCAUGGUUCGUAUUAGUUCUUUACAGUUUUAUCAAGCCACCAUAUUUUUCUUAGAUAUGUCUGCAUAUUUGAUUUUUUGAUACACUGUGCAUGGAAAUCUUGCAUGGUAUAAAUUUAGCCUGUUGGCGGUAUGGACAGCCUGCCCCAUAUAUACAUCUUGUACGUACUUUUGAUCUGCUUGAAGAGGAAAAAGGGAAGAUAAAAGCUACAUCUAUGCUUUGCAAUAUGUUUAGAAGGUUUGGAUUCUAUUGAUUGUGUCCUUUUAUUUUAAAUGUCUUUUGCUGUGUUGCUUAUUGGUUAGGUUUUACACAAUAUCUUAGUGAUACUUUGUUUUUUUUUUCCCUGUUUAUUUAAACUUUUGCAGUUUAUUGGUUUUGUCUUCUGAGGAUGUGCUGCCUGCAGUGUAUUUAUGCACUAACAAAAUUGCUGCUGACCAUGAAAACAUGGUUUUGUUACUUAACUUUAUUCUCUAUAAAUUAUGUUUCAAUAAUAUAAAAUUUACCUUGUGUUUUUGGAUGAGUGUUCUUUUACCUGAUGAAAGUUAUGCACGGAAGUUGUUACCUUUUAUCAUUAAUUGUUUUUCUCCCCAUUCAUUUUAAUGUAAUUUCAGUUAUUGGAGAUUGUGUGUUCGAAGAUAAAGAAAGGAAAAAAGAGUUAUGGGGAUUAAGAUGUGAAGUUUUCAGAGGAAAAUAUUCCUCGAUGAUGUGGACUAAGAUUAUUUUAUAUUAUUUUAUUUUUAAUCUUUUGAAGCAAUAAACUAGGAUUUUCUUGAGAGUGUUCUUGAUGGAAGUUCUUUUUUCCUGUUUCUUUUUCUUCCUUUUCUUCUUUUUUUCUUUUUUUUUUUUAUUUGUGGGAAGAGGGAUGGCUGAGGUGAAGGGUUUUGUCUUAAAGAUCUUCUGAAGAGGGAUGUACAGGGAUCUAAUGGUGUUUGGUCUCUUGUUAGGUUUGUUGUUUAGCUUUGGACGUUUGUAUGAAGGCUUUUUAUGAAAAUAUAUGAUAGGUUGUAUUUUACUAGAUUGGAGCCCUUCUUCUUUAGUUUGGAUUCCUUUGGUCCCCGGUUUUUUGUGGAUUCUCUUGUGUUCUUUUUGUUUCUUCUUGCUGAAAGUUGAUUUAUUAUAUAAAAACAAAUUUUAAUGUUUUCACAAGGAUAAGAAUUAAGAUUAGAGCAAACAAAGAGGGAUGGGACUAGGUAAUCUUUCUUUGUUAUUUAUAAUAAUUAUUCUUUUACAUUAGAAAGUAAUUUGAAGGUAACAUGUAUAAUCCACAUUUUUAUUGUACAAGGAUCAAAAAGAGGGAAAAGGAGAAGUAUCGUUAAUGUAUUUUCUAUUUUUCUCAAAUUCUACAAGUGAUAUGAGUUCUUUCAGGGAGGGGCUUCUCGCCACUCUUUUCUAGACUGUUCUUUUUUUUAUUAAUACAAAGGUAUUUCUUAUCAGAAAAGGAAAAUGUGCAUCUCUCUCUCUCAUUCAUGUCUUCGAAUAUUUGAAACUGAUUUAAUUUUUCUUUAUAAUAUUUUUUUUUCCCCAGUCUCAGAAUUAGAUUGAUGCAUCGGAAUAAUAGUCGUCUUUUGGAAACAAAUUCCUUAAGGAUGUUUUAUUGGCAUGUUUACAGCAUUUUUGGGCUUAUGCAAUUUGUAGAUGUUGCUUCAUAAUUAAUCUGUGGCUUCGUUUUGUUCAUAAAAUGAGAUUCCCAGCAUGCCCUGUUUCUUAUAUAUGGAUGAAUAUUAUUGGGAAUUUGAGUAUCUAGUUGAGUGUUCGUGGUCCCGUGGAAUGUUACUUUUUAAGAAGGUAAUUUCUCUCUCCUCUUUCCUCUCUUCUCUCUCCUCCUUCCUCCCCUGCCUUCUCGGCUCUUCCCCUCUUUCUGGUAGCUCCACAAAGACUGCAAUUUUGCUCUGAUCAGACUUCACUUUGGACUUUUCUGCAUUAGAAACAGAAACAGAUGGAAGUAAAAAGUUGCAGGAUGGACAAGUUGUAUUUUUGCAUUUGGCACGAAGAUGGGAUUUUUCAAGUAGAAGAUAUUGGCGCAGGUUUAAACAAAUCUAUUUCCAAAUCCCAGUUUAUUUGGUUCAUUGAAGCCAUCUCAGCUUUGCAUCGAUGAUCAGAGGACUCUACUUUUACAAGAAAGAAAAAUUAGAAAAUGGGACGGUGGAAGUUUCCAAGUUCAGAUAAAAAUGGUUGGGUGCUGAGGUGCAAUGUAUGGCAUUGUAAUGGCGGAAGAUCAAAUUAGAAGCCUUUUCGGUCAAGGUCGUGUAGAACAUGAGAUUCUGGACCCAGAAUCCCUGUUCGUAACCAUAGAUGGAAUAGCUUAAACAAACAAAAAAAGGAGUAAUUUUAAAAAGGGAACAUUUUCUUCUACUAGAAUAAUUCCUCUAAUUUACCAGUUCAAGUCACCUUGUUUUCUUUUUUCCAUAGGUAAAGCAAAGCAAAAUCUUUUAAGAAUGCAUCUGGUUGCAUCUUUCUUUAUCACCUUUCUCCUUGAUCCACAAAGACAAAAUGGAGGACUGGUGUUGGUUAACAAGCUUCAACCAUGUCUGAUAUCAACCGCAACUCCCCAUGCCGACGACCAUUUGAAGUAAUGUGGCCUUUCCUUUUCAUAUUCCAAUUGGUGAAGACAAACAGGGGUAGAGAACUUUUUGUAAAAUGCUUGGCAGAUUGGAAGCAAGUCAUGAGUAUAAAAUUUGGUAUUCACCCAAACUCUAUCCUCAUCUAUUCAGCAUCACUGAGAAGAAGUCUUGUAUUCUUAUGAAGGGCAGUUAUGUAGACAUGGUGAAGAACAAGGGGACUAACCAACACUCUGUUGCGGCAUCAGUAAAACAGAGCACAAGCAAAUACUGGGUUAUUAAGAACCUGGAUGUAUGCAAGAUUGAUUUCGAUAAUCUAUAGGUAGUAUUGAAUUUUUUCAGCUGCUGUUUUGGUUGUUUUUCUUGCCUUGAUGGGAGUUUGUCAUGUUCUUAGGCCUCGUUUUGUUUGUUCGUGUAUUUAGGUCUCGGUUUCUUUGGCCCUUGAGAUUCUAGCUCUUUGUAUAAUUCUCUUAUACUUUGAGCAUUAGUCUAAUUUUAUUAUAUUAAUGAAGGUAGUUGAUUUUAAAAUAAUUUUAAAAAAAAGAUAAUCUAUGGGUUGAAACAAAGUUUUUUAAGUUUGAUUGUCACAUCCCGCCCUAGGCACCUACUUGCUCGUCCCGAGACGUGGUGUGAUGUCAGUCGAAGCGUUUGCCUCUGGAACAACCUCAACUGACACAUGACAUGGAAACAUGGAAUAAUCAACAACGGAAGUUUUUUAACUUGAAAUAAUUAUAACCGUAGUGUGAUCCACUUGGAAUCUUUUAUAAAAUGUAACAUGGAUACUGAACAAAACAGGAAUAAAUAAGUAUUUGAACCGUCACAUAACUAUUUUGAAACAAGAUCAACGAACCGCCUCUUCCCCUGUCACAAGUUCAACGAGUUGGCGGGUGGGAGAGCAUGGGAGAACCAUUUUGUGCUUUGUCAGUUGGGUUCGUCUCCAUUUGUGUUUUCCAGUUGAUCUCUGUAUUUGGUUCCUCUGAAAUCCAAUCAAGUGUGAGGUCUUUGGAAAAUUAACCUUUUGGUUCUUCGAAUUUGUUGUUUUUUUGUUCUAAUUUGGGUAGUGGAUGAUUAGCAGCUUCCCAAAUCUUGGUUUUCAGUCCCUCAGGGUUUCUAUGUAUGCCUUAUAUAUAUGGAAUUCUUUUGUAUAGAAUGAAUCAAGUGAGUUAUUUCAUAUUUCCUCUAACUUCAACAUCCUCUACAUGUCGUGCCCUAUAUUUUUAAAAACUCGCAUGUCGUCGUGUCUUGUGUCUCAUGUUGGUGUUUGUGCUAGAGUACUACUAGGUUGAGAAAUAGGCAAACUAGAUUGGGAACUCUCAAUAUAAAAAUUUCAUCUAAUGACAGAAUCUCAUAAUCAGAAAAGGUUUGUUUUAGUCAUUCUAAAUUAAGGUAACAGUCCAUUCAAUAAUGUCGUAACAGUCAUCUUUUCACGCUGAAUAUUUUAACCUUGACAUCGGAGCUAAAAGGUAAUAGUAAAGCAAGUUCAGCAACUGUCUUCUUAAGCCACUUAAGCCACAUAAAGUAGCUUGUAAUAAAUUCUACCUUCUGUGCAGCUCGAAAAAAUUGGAUAUAAACAUCAAACAUUUGAUGAACUUGUUCUUUUCUAGAGUAUAGAAAGUCUAAGAAUUCUAGGAGCUCUUUCACAAAAUCACAAUGAUCUACCAAACCAACAUCACGUUCAAUAGAAUUCUUAAUUUGAAGAUAAAGUCAAGUAUUAUCAUGUGGGCGGCUCCUCAAUCACACGAUCAUCCAUAUAUGUACUAAGUAAAAUUCAACUAUGCGACGCCAAUCAUAGUAGCUAGAUCCAUUUAACUUGUGUUUUGUUAUAUUCAGUGUUAGAGGAAUAACAAUCGGACACAACUAUAUGUUUCACGUCACUCAUUAUUAGGUAACCAACUGUUUGAAGAUCUCACAAGAGAAAGAGAAACAAAUAAAAAAAACAGAAUUUCAAAUUGAAUAGAAACAACAACAAACCUAAGCACAAAAGGUUAUUUUCGAAUAACUUCACAACCUGAGCAGGUUUCAAUGAUACCAAAUGCAGACUUGUCAGAAAAUGCAAACAAAGACGAAACCUACCGACGGAAACCAAACUAGAGUACCCACACACUGGCUCGUGGAGACAGGACGCAAUCGUUCUGGCAGCGUGUGAACCUCACAUGCGACUGUUGAACGAUGAUGGCAGACUUCAGUGGACAGCAGCGACACUCCACCUGAGAUGGCUGGUGUUGACAAACAGCCACUCGAAGAUACCUACACUUGAACCAUAAUGGAGAACGAAGUCGCUAAACGAAUAAUUCCAAACCCUGGAUUCUUAACACCAUGUAAUCUAUACUUUUGGAUUAUAUAAUAAUCUUAUUUUUUAACCAGAUUGCAGAUACAUAUAGUAUAUAUAGGCAACUAAGAAACCUUAAUCUAGGGAAUGUAAAAUUACAAUAAACUAUAAAGGACGACUUUGCAUAAUUACAAUAUAAACACAUUAUAACACCUGAAAAAUAGUUUUCUACUUUUUUGGUUGCAUCUUUUAAAACCUUACAUGAGUCCCACCUGAAAGGAUAAGGUCCGUAUAUGCUCAUAGUAGUCUUAUGUCAAAGGGUCCUAACCAAUAAAGCCAUGUUUAGCACCCUUAAAGUAUCAUGCCCAGAUAGAUCUUUUUGGGCCAAAAGGCUUAGCCAGUCAGCACUUCCCAAUUCACUAAAAUGAGAGCCUUUUUUUUCCAACACCCCUCCAAUGAAAAACUUGUUAUGCCCC
RNAcentral lists this long non-coding RNA (5873 nucleotides) under Cucumis sativus (cucumber). Its description in RNAcentral is "long non-coding RNA (CSAT_LNC001461)". Lineage: Eukaryota; Viridiplantae; Streptophyta; Magnoliopsida; Cucurbitales; Cucurbitaceae. The record is from RNAcentral.